CCAGUUCUGCUGAAUCUCAUCCUCUGGGAACAGCACUGCAGAAUCUGCAUUUCUGACAAGGCUUCCAGAUGACUCCAGGUCAGCCGACUCAGCCUGAACCCCCGUACCUCAGGCAGGUAUGGGACUGGGGCAGCAGAGGAACUUUUUGGGCCAUGCUGCUACAGGUCUGUCUUGGAGGCCCUUUGAAGGCAAGGACUAUGUCCUAUUCCACCUUGAAUUCUCAUCACCAAGCGGAACGCCUGACACCUAAUCUAGUCAGUGCUUACUAAGUGCUCAUUAUCAAUGCAAGAAUAACAGAGCUAUGGAACCUGGCAGCCACCUCUUUUCUUUGGGCCUCAGUCUUCUCAUGCAGAACUUGGGAUUGGACUAAAUUGGAUCUCCUAGGCUGCCUCUGACUCUAACAAUUCUCUGAUUUAAAUUAUUCUUCAUCUGGAUGUAAUCCACCUUGCUUUUCCAUCCCAG
RNAcentral lists this long non-coding RNA (462 nucleotides) under Homo sapiens (human). Its description in RNAcentral is "non-protein coding lnc-GRHL2-7:4". The record is from RNAcentral. Lineage: Eukaryota; Metazoa; Chordata; Mammalia; Primates; Hominidae.